CUAUACAUGCAAGUCGAGCGAACAGACGAGGAGCUUGCUCCUCUGACGUUGCGGCGGACGGGUGAGUAACACGUGGAUAACCUACCUAUAAGACUGGGAUAACUUCGGGAAACCGGAGCUAAUACCGGAUAAUAUAUUGAACCGCAGGGUUCAAUAGUGAAAGACGGUUUUGCUGUCACUUAUAGAUGGAUCCGCGCCGCAAUAGCUAGUUGGUAAGGUAACGGCUUACCAGGGCCACGAUGCGUAGCCCACCUGAGAGGGUGAUCGGCCACACUGGAACUGAGACACGGUCCAGACUCCUACGGGAGGCAGCAGUAGGGAAUCUUCCGCAGUGGGCGAAAGCCUGACAGAGCAACGCCGCGUGAGUGAUGAAGGUCUUCGGAUCGUAAAACUCUGUUAUUAGGGAAGAACAAAUGUGUAAGUAACUAUGCACGUCUUGACGGUACCUAAUCAGAAAGCCACGGCUAACUACGUGCCAGCAGCCGCGGUAAUACGUAGGUGGCAAGCGUUAUCCGGAAUUAUGGGGCGUAAAGCGCGCGUAGGCGGUUUUUUAAGUCUGAUGUGAAAGCCCACGGCUCACCCGUGGAGGGUCAUUGGAAACUGGAAAACUUGAGUGCAGAAGAGGAAAGUGGAAUUCCAUGUGUAGCGUUGAAAUGCGCAGAGAUAUGGAGGAACACCAGUGGCGAAGGCAACUUUCUGGUCUGUAACUGACGCUUAAUGUGCGAAAGCGUGGGGAUCAAACAGGAUUAGAUACCCUGGUAGUCCACGCCAUACACAAUGAGUGCUAAGUGUUAGGGGGUUUCCGCCCCUUAGUGCUGCAGCUAACGCAUUAAGCACUCCGCCCGGGGAGUACGACCGCAGGGUUGAAACUCAGAGGAAUUGACGGGCACCCGCACAAGCUGUGGAGCAUGUGGUUUAAUUCGAAGCAACGCGGAGAAACUUACCAAAUCUUGACAUCCUCUGACCCCUCUGGAGAUAGAGUUUUCCCCUUCGGGGGACAGAGAGAAAGGUGUUGCAGGGUGUUCUCCCCUCCGGCCCGGGAAAUUUGGGUUAA
Molecule: ribosomal RNA, 1054 nt
Filed under: Staphylococcus epidermidis
Lineage: Bacteria; Bacillati; Bacillota; Bacilli; Caryophanales; Staphylococcaceae
Description: bacterial SSU rRNA
Rfam family: Bacterial small subunit ribosomal RNA
Source: RNAcentral